RNAcentral lists this long non-coding RNA (1554 nucleotides) under Bemisia tabaci. RNAcentral's name for it is "lncRNA ENSSSA3NGG014026". Lineage: Eukaryota; Metazoa; Arthropoda; Insecta; Hemiptera; Aleyrodidae. The record is from RNAcentral.
AUGUACGUUGGGUUGAAAGGGUUUAUCAUAUCAGUGUUUGAGUAUCCUGUUGUGUCUGUGGCCAUGCAUGUUGUAUCCGAGGUCAUGCCCGAAUCCGAGGCCAUGCAUGUUGUAUCCGAUGUCGUGCAUGUGUCUGUGCAGCCGGUGUCCCCACUGUCACCCAUCUCCGUAACUUCCAAGUUCCUGGACUCACCGAUCAGCAAGAGCUGCGGUGAUUAGAAAAAAGACCAAGAGCCCACGCUGAAACAAACAAAUCGCGGUCAGUGAACUCGAGCCGUAUGUUUUUUGAAAUACAGGAAGGAGGGGAAAACUCGUGAAUGGAUCGCGACAAUCCGGAACGGGCCCGUUAAAUCAGAAUAAAUUACGCACACAGAGAAAAAUUUUAACGUAAAAGUUUAAUUUAUACGAGAAGUAAAACACAAAAUAACCCUAGCCUUUGGUUAAAAUUUCAAGAGAAAAUGUCGGCUAGUUUUCAUGAAGAAAUUCAAUAAAAAACGAGUGGUGAAUACCAGCGUUGCAAUCGGAGGAAUGCAUUUUCCCAGUCUCUCCAUUGCUUUCUGCGCUAAAUUCACCGCAAACUGUGCCACAAUCAACACAAAAUGUGUGUCGGUUUGUGUUACUUCCUACAUUAACCAAAAGUAACAAAAGAACACAAAUAUUUUUAUCAGUGUAGCACAAGCCUAUUAUGCACAGUUUUUUUUUUGUUUAAAUUCUCUUGCAGAUAAAACCAAGUCGAAUUUCGAAGAAUGAAAUCACUUCGCACCACACAGACAUUUUUCGACUCGGCAAGGGUACAAAGUGAUUUAAAUUUUGAAUCUUUUUUUUUUUUUUUAAUCCUCGGAGUUUGUUUGUCCGUGUUUUCACCCGAGUCUUCUAAUAGAAACACUGGAUUUCAGGUGCAGUAAUCUCCGAAUCUCUCCCCGAGGUUUUAUGGAGGGCUCUGAGACCCCUAAUACAGAUACAUUUUGGUCAAUUUGCCGCUCAUCAUUAAAACCCCAACAUCGUCUGAACAAAAUAACCAAGACAAAUCUGGCACGAGUGAUAUGAGACCACUAGAUCGGGUAACCAUCACGCCAGCCCGCACUUCACUGCGAAAGCAGCUUACGCCAUGCCAAGGCAAGUUUUAAGGUACUCUUUUGAGACCCUCAGACACGGGAGUAUGAUUUUGGAAACACAGUCUAACCGUAGAGAUUGACUCUUCAAUAAAGACACGUUUCAUCAUUUAGGGGCUGCGUGGACUUGCCAUUUAAAAUUCUUACAUGCAACGGAGAGUUUCAGAAGAGGUGGGAUUUUUAUAAUGAGCUCAUUAAAGUUGAUUCCUCUCUGCUCAACUUGCCUUUGCAAGAGAAAAUAAGCGGAUCCGGGGGAGGGGGUGUAGGGGUUGCACGCCCCCGGCCCCCUCGUUCGUCCGGAAAAAGGAGGAAGAAAAUGGAGGAAAAAAAGGAGGAAGGAACGGAGUAAGGAAGAAGGAAGGACGUUUAAAUUUGGACGUAUUUCUAUAAACGGAACCAUGUGCAUUCAGACAUGAGCCCUGAGACCCAUAAGAAUAUGUGC